AGAGAUUAUGAGAUGAAUAGAGACGCGGAGAUGUGCACACAAACACUCACCGGAAGGCGAUGAAAUA
This is a non-coding RNA of Caenorhabditis elegans, 67 nucleotides long. Lineage: Eukaryota; Metazoa; Nematoda; Chromadorea; Rhabditida; Rhabditidae. The record is from Ensembl.